CCCACAUUGCAUUGCAAUUUAUUGUUUAGCACUGAUAUGAUUUACUUAACCCAUUCAGUAACAUUGUGCCCUGAUGGGCUCUACUUUACUCUGUCUAAUGCCAGACUAUUUUACUCUGUUUAACACCAGACAAUUUUAUUUGUCAAGGGUAGAGUGUUGGUGUUUAAUGGUUAAGCACUUCUAAGGUACUGUUAAUUUUGAAAAUUCUUAACAAGGUAAACUAUUAGGUCAUUUUUGUGGCAUGAAGUACAUAUUGGUGUCAGCACUAAAUUGCUUCAAAGUUAUAUCAUGCAUAGCUAGAUCAAGCAAAAUUAUAAUGAGCUUUAGCUCAUUUGUUUUAACAGCAUGGAAAUUCUCUAAAUUUAACCCUUUAAGUGGCAAUGUACCCAGAUGCACCCUACUUUAUUAUUUUACUCUGUCUAUUACAGUAAUGCCAGAUGAUUUUACUUGUAGCACUGUGCACAAUACAAUAGUACCUUCAUAAGAAAUGUUCAAUAUGUCUACAGACUACAAGAGUUCUCGCAAAAUGAUAAAUAUUUUGCAUUACUUGUACUAUUGUUCUCGUAACAUGUUCAAGAUCACUAUUUCUUGAUUGUUUUAUGUUCUUCUCUUUGGGCAAUGACUCCUCACUGACAUUACACAUUUACACCACUUGCUUCGCUUUAAUACCAGAAUGCCGUCCAGAAUUGAAACAUUUCCUUGAAUGGAUUGUCAGCUGCUGUUGGGUUUUACAGUAAAAUAUCAUUCCUUCUCCCUUGUGCUCGCUGGUAUUAAACCGAAAUACUCUUAAAUAUCAUAUAUCAUCCUGGCAGAACCGUUCUGUGAGCACAAACUCAAGUCCUUCGCUCAACAAAAACCUUGUCAGGGCAACAACUGAAUUUACAGUCUCUUUAAUUGAUAGUCCAGUAAAGGUUUGGGCAAUCUUAUUACUGCCUGGUUUUGCCUGGUAGAUAUAAGUUGUUCUCACGUUAUUGCC
Paramuricea clavata is the source of this 976-nucleotide non-coding RNA. Lineage: Eukaryota; Metazoa; Cnidaria; Anthozoa; Malacalcyonacea; Plexauridae. The record is from the annotation of a GenBank genome assembly.